This is a long non-coding RNA of Mastomys coucha (southern multimammate mouse), 249 nucleotides long. RefSeq lists it as uncharacterized. The record is from RefSeq and is a predicted model, not a curated record. The transcript is spliced from 2 exons. Lineage: Eukaryota; Metazoa; Chordata; Mammalia; Rodentia; Muridae.
UGCCUGCGAAUCCAGAUGUAGAACUCUCAGCUAACCUCUCCAGCACCGUGUAUGUCAGCAUGCUGCCAUGCUUCCCACCCUGAUGACAAUGGAAUGAACCUCUAAACUCUGCACAAUGGGUGCACAGUUAAGAGUCUUCGAAUGGCCACAGUGAAAACUUCUACCCUGCACUUUGAAACUACUAAUCGCAUAUAUAGGAUCUCUGCUGCAAAACAAGACAAGAGAAAUAAAACAGAAAGUGCACACAAA